RNAcentral lists this ribosomal RNA (353 nucleotides) under uncultured Anoxybacillus sp. Its description in RNAcentral is "bacterial SSU rRNA". It matches the Rfam family "Bacterial small subunit ribosomal RNA", at positions 1028 to 1382 of the family's 1533-position model. Lineage: Bacteria; Bacillati; Bacillota; Bacilli; Caryophanales; Anoxybacillaceae. The record is from RNAcentral.
GAGGUGACAGGUGGUGCAUGGUUGUCGUCAGCUCGUGUCGUGAGAUGUUGGGUUAAGUCCCGCAACGAGCGCAACCCUCGACCUUAGUUGCCAGCAUUCAGUUGGGCACUCUAAGGUGACUGCCGGCUAAAAGUCGGAGGAAGGUGGGGAUGACGUCAAAUCAUCAUGCCCCUUAUGACCUGGGCUACACACGUGCUACAAUGGGCGGUACAAAGGGUCGCGAACCCGCGAGGGGGAGCCAAUCCCAAAAAGCCGCUCCCAGUUCGGAUUGCAGGCUGCAACUCGCCUGCAUGAAGCCGGAAUCGCUAGUAAUCGCAGAUCAGCAUGCUGCGGUGAAUACGUUCCCGGGUCUU